Molecule: ribosomal RNA, 699 nt
Filed under: Brachybacterium sp. DBQ_20LB
Lineage: Bacteria; Bacillati; Actinomycetota; Actinomycetes; Micrococcales; Dermabacteraceae
Description: bacterial SSU rRNA
Rfam family: Bacterial small subunit ribosomal RNA
Source: RNAcentral
UACUGACACUGAGAAGCGAAAGCAUGGGGAGCAAACAGGAUUAGAUACCCUGGUAGUCCAUGCCGUAAACGUUGGGCACUAGGUGUGGGGAACAUUCCACGUUUUCCGCGCCGUAGCUAACGCAUUAAGUGCCCCGCCUGGGGAGUACGGCCGCAAGGCUAAAACUCAAAGGAAUUGACGGGGGCCCGCACAAGCGGCGGAGCAUGCGGAUUAAUUCGAUGCAACGCGAAGAACCUUACCAAGGCUUGACAUGCACCGGACGACCUCAGAGAUGGGGUUUUCUUUGGACUGGUGCACAGGUGGUGCAUGGUUGUCGUCAGCUCGUGUCGUGAGAUGUUGGGUUAAGUCCCGCAACGAGCGCAACCCUCGUUCCAUGUUGCCAGCGCGUAAUGGCGGGGACUCAUGGGAGACUGCCGGGGUCAACUCGGAGGAAGGUGGGGACGACGUCAAAUCAUCAUGCCCCUUAUGUCUUGGGCUUCACGCAUGCUACAAUGGCCGGUACAAUGGGUUGCGAAACUGUGAGGUGGAGCGAAUCCCAAAAAGCCGGUCUCAGUUCGGAUUGGGGUCUGCAACUCGACCCCAUGAAGUCGGAGUCGCUAGUAAUCGCAGAUCAGCAACGCUGCGGUGAAUACGUUCCCGGGCCUUGUACACACCGCCCGUCAAGUCACGAAAGUCGGUAACACCCGAAGCCAGUGGCCC